UCGAGGAUCUUCGGCAAUGGGCGCAAGCCUGACCGAGCGAGGCCGCGUGGGCGAUGAAGGCCUUCGGGUUGUAAAGCCCUGUCGAGAGGGAGAAAAGCCGAAAGGUUUGAUCUAUCUCUGGAGGAAGCACGGGCUAAGUUCGUGCCAGCAGCCGCGGUAAGACGAACCGUGCGAACGUUAUUCGGAAUCACUGGGCUUAAAGGGCGCGUAGGCGGGCCACCAAGUCCGGGGUGAAAUCCUCCAGCUCAACUGGAGAACUGCCUCGGAUACUGGAGGUCUCGAGGGGGAUAGGGGCACGCGGAACUGUGGGUGGAGCGGUGAAAUGCGUUGAUAUCCAUAGGAACUCCGGUGGCGAAGGCGGCGUGCUGGAUCUCUUCUGACGCUGAGGCGCGAAAGCCAGGGGAUCAAACGGG
Molecule: ribosomal RNA, 413 nt
Filed under: uncultured bacterium
Lineage: Bacteria
Description: bacterial SSU rRNA
Rfam family: Bacterial small subunit ribosomal RNA
Source: RNAcentral